GCAUAUUUAAUCUUUUAACAUAAUUAUGUGAUUUGAUUAAUUAAAAUUUGAUUGACAUGCCUGACAACACAGGGAGAAAUUGCAGAGAAUUUAAUUCGCAAGCACUAUAUUUGACCCUGUAACUCUCCAAGAAACCAUAAAACCUGUACAUAGGGGCUACUGGUUUACUAGGGAGACUUCGCUGAACUCAAAUAUUAGUGUUUCAAACUGGUAAAUUGUAUUACAACUAUAUUUUAAGUAAAAGUGAAGUGUUUUGCAUUUUUUACAAACAAACUGCACUUUUAUGGACUAUAUUAUUGUUGUAAUAUGUUUUACAACACUAAUAUGUGUUUAGUGAAGUCUCCCAAAAACAACAAUACCCCCCAUGUACAGGUUUUAUUGUGUUUUGGAAAGUUAUAGAGUCACAUAUAAGGCUUG
Pelobates cultripes (western spadefoot toad) is the source of this 417-nucleotide non-coding RNA. The record is from the annotation of a GenBank genome assembly. Lineage: Eukaryota; Metazoa; Chordata; Amphibia; Anura; Pelobatidae.